RNAcentral lists this long non-coding RNA (483 nucleotides) under Vulpes vulpes (red fox). Its description in RNAcentral is "lncRNA (ENSVVUG00000016800.1)". Lineage: Eukaryota; Metazoa; Chordata; Mammalia; Carnivora; Canidae. The record is from RNAcentral.
CUGAGCCAUCCAGGUUGCCCCAUUUGUAUAUCUUUUUAAGGCAGAUUUUCUGGAGAUGUCUGAGGUCACCUGUUGUAGGUCCCAAAGAAUAUUUGAUCAAUAUUUACCGCACAUGUUUGCUUCAAAAAAGGACAUAGUGAUUGGUUGUGAAGUGGAUCUGAAGAACUGUGAAAUGAUCUUAAGGCAUUCUGUGAAGUGUGUGCUUUCUGCUGCUGUUUUCUUGCCAGAGGUCAGAACCAAAUGAGAGAUAAAACAAAACUGGUCAGCUGGAGAACCAAGUAUCACCUUUAUGACUAAUGAAGCUAUUAUCAGACGGCAUGGCAACAACGAGCUUCCAAAUACUGAACCCUGGGAUAAAAUAGAUUUCUGCAUGCAGUCUUGAGCCACGCUGGUUAACUGUGAGAUUUUCCAUUAAAGGGCAUCUUGAGAUGUAUAGAACAGAGAAAAAAUUGAGUUUUCUAGGGGUUAUUAAUCCUAGGAAAA